UUUCAUUUAAAACUAUCGUCUAUCGUCUCCUCUGUUCUUCCUUGGAAACUAAGGAUGAAUCUUUCGGAAAGUUUUAGGGUUCUAAAGAAAUGAAAACACAGUUGUUUGGAGGUUGAAGAAAAUGUCGAGGCGGAGAUGAGGUGAAACUAUUCAAGGCAUGGGAAGCAGAGGCGGUGAGGAGGUGCAGACGACAACGUCGGAGAAGGAGGAGAUGGUGGUAGGGGGCGCACGACAAAGGAGUGAGGGGGUGUGGAGGAGAUAAUCGCACCACCAUAGGAUUCCUCACUCAGAUCCUUGCUCUUUCGACAAAAGGAUUUUGUAUAAUUGAUUUUGGUGUGAGAUGCAAGUUGUGUCUUGCUUUUCGUAUAACUUAUCGUAGAAAAAACAAAGCUUCGGGUCAAAGAAAA
Long non-coding RNA from Glycine soja, 407 nucleotides. RefSeq lists it as uncharacterized. Lineage: Eukaryota; Viridiplantae; Streptophyta; Magnoliopsida; Fabales; Fabaceae. The record is from RefSeq and is a predicted model, not a curated record. The transcript has 2 exons.